Molecule: ribosomal RNA, 728 nt
Filed under: uncultured organism
Description: bacterial SSU rRNA
Rfam family: Bacterial small subunit ribosomal RNA
Source: RNAcentral
GCCUAAGGUAUGCAAGUCGAAUGCCGAUUAUCGGCAUGGCAGACGGCUGAGUAAUACAUGGGAAUCUACCUCAAACUCGAGAAUAGCCCAUCGAAAGGUGGUGUAAUACUCGAUAGUUCCGUUUACGGUAAAGCUCCGGCGGUUUGAGAUGAGCCCAUGUCCUAUCAGGUUGUUGGUGGGGUAAUUGCCUACCAAGCCUAUGACGGGUAGCUGGUUUGAGAGGAUGAUCAGCCAGACUGGGACUGCGAUACGGCCCAGACUCCUACGGGAGGCAGCAACUAGGAAUCAUGCGCAAUGGACGAAAGUCUGACGCUGCGACGUCGCGUGAGGGAUGAAGGUCUUCGGAUCGUAAACCUCUUUUAUCUGGGAACAAGUUCUGAGUGUACCAGAUGAAUAAGUGCCUGCCAACCACGUGCCAGAAGCAUCGGUAAUGCGUGGGGCACGAGCGUUAUCCGGAUUUACUGGGCGUAAAGAGAUGCGUAGGCGCCUUUUUAAGUCACUUGUAAAAUCUCCCCGCUCAACGGGGAAACUGCAAGUGAUACUGAAUUGGUUGAGUCAAGUAGAGGAGAGGGGGAUUCCUGGUGGAGCGGUUAAAUGCGUUGAUAUCAGGAGGAAUACCAAGUGCGAAGGCACCUCUCUGGACUUGUACUGACGCUAAGGCUCGAAAGUGUGGGGAGCAAAACGGAUUAGAUACCCGUGUAGUCCACACUGUAAACGAUCCCUGCUAG